UGCAGCCAGUUCAUGUGCCCUUGGUUUC
Molecule: non-coding RNA, 28 nt
Filed under: Mus musculus (house mouse)
Lineage: Eukaryota; Metazoa; Chordata; Mammalia; Rodentia; Muridae
Source: RNAcentral